AAUUCUUUUGCUUAGUUGAUUUUCAACUUCAGCCUUAAAUGAUUUGAAUACGUCUAUGGAUUGGGACUUUUCGUGAAUAAGAUAUAGGUACCCAUAACGAGAGUAAUUGUCUAUGAAUGAUAAAGUAUUGUUGACCAUUCCUACAAGGAGUAGGGAAUGGCCCACAAAUAUCAGUAUGUAUCAAUUCUAAGACGUCCGAAACUCUCUUGGCACCUAAUCUAGUCUUGUUUGUUUGUUUUCCCUUGAUACACUCAAUACAAAUUU
RNAcentral lists this long non-coding RNA (264 nucleotides) under Nicotiana benthamiana. RNAcentral describes it as "long non-coding RNA (NBEN_LNC001445)". Lineage: Eukaryota; Viridiplantae; Streptophyta; Magnoliopsida; Solanales; Solanaceae. The record is from RNAcentral.